CCCGACCAGCACACGUCGUUCGUCGUGUGCGCCAAGCUUUACGUGCUGCAGGGCACAUUAGGAACGUUGAAAUGGCGCGUCGCUCCGUUGGCGUCAAAAUUGCUGGAGCGUUUGGAUGCAGCAAAUUUCUUGCAACAUCCUUAUCAGAAUGUUCGCGAGACUGUUGGCAGUUUCCUGAUGACGAUAUUUGACACGGAGCUGGUGUUCCGGGAGGUGAUAGGAGCAAAGCCCCGUGCCUCGCCGAGUUUAUCGAGAGUUUGCAGCCGCGUUUUGCGCCGCUAUAUGACGAGAAUGGAGACAUAGUGAUAAAGACAGCAGUGUCGGGAUCUUCGCCGGCAGCAGCAGUGGAGGCGGGCGGCGUGCGGACGGCGGAGGGGGCGCUAUGCCUCACUUCCUGCGCCGCGCCAGCGCCCGCGCCGCUACAGCCCUGCGCCGCGCACCCUGC
Manduca sexta (tobacco hornworm) is the source of this 445-nucleotide long non-coding RNA. RefSeq lists it as uncharacterized. NCBI's taxonomy places the organism in Eukaryota, Metazoa, Arthropoda, Insecta, Lepidoptera, Sphingidae. The record is from RefSeq and is a predicted model, not a curated record. The transcript has 4 exons.